ACUCCUACGGGAGGCAGCAGUGGGGAAUAUUGGACAAUGGGCGAAAGCCUGAUCCAGCCAUGCCGCAUGAGUGAAGAAGGCCUUUGGGUUGUAAAGCUCUUUUAGUGAGGAAGAUAAUGACGGUACUCACAGAAGAAGUCCUGGCUAACUCCGUGCCAGCAGCCGCGGUAAUACGGAGAGGGCUAGCGUUAUUCGGAAUUAUUGGGCGUAAAGGGCGCGUAGGCUGGUUAAUAAGUUAAAAGUGAAAUCCCGAGGCUUAACCUUGGAAUUGCUUUUAAAACUAUUAAUCUAGAGAUUGAAAGAGGAUAGAGGAAUUCCUGAUGUAGAGGUAAAAUUCGUAAAUAUUAGGAGGAACACCAGUGGCGAAGGCGUCUAUCUGGUUCAAAUCUGACGCUGAAGCGCGAAGGCGUGGGGAGCAAACAGGAUUAGAUACCCUUGUAGUCC
RNAcentral lists this ribosomal RNA (444 nucleotides) under Wolbachia endosymbiont of Aedes albopictus. RNAcentral's name for it is "bacterial SSU rRNA". It matches the Rfam family "Bacterial small subunit ribosomal RNA", at positions 335 to 796 of the family's 1533-position model. The record is from RNAcentral. Lineage: Bacteria; Pseudomonadati; Pseudomonadota; Alphaproteobacteria; Rickettsiales; Anaplasmataceae.